AGAAACUUCACUGGUAGAAUUAGCCAUUUCUGAGUGACUGACAGCAGCUUUGCAAGAGAGACACAGACCAUGAUGCCAACAGGGAGAUGCAAAAGGACUCAGAUACACAGACUGCUGCAAACUCAAACUUCUUACUGCCCAUGCUCCACAUGGGUUGGACACGAAGAACUGGAAAACUUACAUAGCUCUCAGAGUGUGGCCAGAGAAACUGAGGCUGUCAGCUCUUAUUUACGUGGAUGUACUCUCAGACACUGUUUUGCUCAAAGUGCAUAAAUGAAAUGUUAAAAUAGAAGAAAACAAACGGAUAACAGAUGACUGUGGCUAUUCAUGCUUACAUACUUAGAAGCCUGGACAGAGGAUAAAGAUGUCCCAGAAGCAUCUGUCUAUAGAGAAUGUGGGGCAUAUGCUGUGAGUUCUACACCCGCAGGCAGAACUGUGAGCAACAGCACAGGUGCUAUACACUGGCUCUGCACAUCUGCAGGGAACGUGGUUCCAGAUUUCUACACAGUCUGCAGUAUUGCUGGAACUACUGCAGCAUAUUUGUACUGCUUCGACUGCUUUUGCUCCAACCAGGCUACAAAACCGCUUGGAUUUCCUGAACAAAUCCAAAGUCCUCACAUUCUGGGCACUAAAAACGACACAGCUGAAGAACCUGAAUGGAUUAGCCAAGAGGUACAUUCACAGAUUACUCUAAAGAGCUCACAGCCCAGCUGCAUUGCCUUUUUCCUUCUCUCUGCAGAAAGCACACCUAUUUGUCCACCACUCAGAGUGGCUGAUGGCAGACAACGCGCAUGCUGAGCAAGGAAUGAGAAAGUGUUAAAGAUUUUUGGCAGUAUUCAGUGUUGCUGCUUUAAGGAGUCCUUUGUUGUUCCUGCAUGGCAUGGGAUACUCAUCAAAUACGUUUAAAAGGACUAAAAUUGAGAAAAGCUCCAUAACUAAGAUUUAUCACCCUUAACGUUCCAAUUUAAAGUGUUCCUGCAGUACAGAAGGUCACUUUUAUGUAAGCUGUGCUGAAUUUUACAGAGCUACAAUCUUAGUUAACCCUCAGCAUGGCAAUUUCAGCGUGGUUUACAAAAUUCAACCCAGACAGACAUAAUUUCUCUUCUCAGAAGUAUUCUUACACUCCUUAGAGACCAUUCUGAUAGCAGAAGAAAAUUCCUAAUUUGAUAUCUAGCUGUUUAACUUAUUCAUGUAUGGAACGGCAAAGAUGGGCUGAAAAUGGUCAGCCAAGCAGAGCUGAGAGCUGGAGAAGCAUGUCUGAAAUACACUCAAGAAAAAGAAACCUCCCUGGGCAAUCAUAUUAACCUGAACAGCCAAAGGGACAUUUUGCCUAAGCCUCAGGUUAUGAAAUUUCAUUUAAUUUUUAUUCCCCACUUUCAUCACCUGCUUUCAAGGUUAUGCGUUUGAAGUUACCUAACUCCACACAGGGGCACAUGAAUAACUGGAAGGAAUGACAGAAGUGCAUAACCCCGUCACACUUUCAAAAAGAGCCUACAGGGUUAGGUACAAUAAAAGCUGUAACAAUGGAGUCUCGCUGGAAUAUCCAAAAGUGAAUUGAGGUACUUAAUGACCAUCUUAAUUUUUCUAUAAGUGCAGAGCAGUCGCCUUGAGUAAAACACGCUCUUCUGGGAGCAUAAGUUGAGCAACUGAUAUCACAGAUGGUUUUAUAACGUGUUGGUCCAUAGCCUGAAAAAUGCAGUUUAUAUUUUUAAAGCACGGAUGUAACUAAUGAACUUGUUUAAAUACUAGGCAGCAUAGCAAACAUGAGGUGGAAGUCACAGAGAAAAAUGUGAUAGGAUACAAAAUAUAAACUCAUGAUGGGAAUGUACUCUGAGCCAACACAUACAUUUCAGUCCAAAAAUUAGCGUUGCCUAAAAUCAGAGUUCUCUUUUAACCCCUUAUAAAGAUCCAUAAAGCUAUGCAUUUCAUGGUUAGAUCUAAUCUGGGAGUGGAGCUGAACUUCUACCAAAUGAAGGAGAUGGCAGACUUUAGUUUCCAAUCCAGGUCUUUCAAGAACAGAUUAUGUGUACAGUAAACAUGUAUGUACUUUUACAUACUCACUUCUCACAACUUCAGCUAUAUGUUAAAGUAGGAGCAUGCCUUAAAAAUGCAUUAAGCUUGACAGCUGGAAAGAAAUGAGGUUGAUCUGACAUAGAAGAAUACAGAAGAUUUUACUUCAACUUUACAGAGAUAGAGAAGUUCUGCCAUGGAAGAUCAAGACUGUCAUUGUCAAGAGGUGGAAAAGCUGGUAGACAAAAGCAGAUUGUCUUUGAAAUAUUGAUAGAUUAUUAAAAUCUUAACUAAAAU
Molecule: long non-coding RNA, 2307 nt
Organism: Gallus gallus (chicken)
Lineage: Eukaryota; Metazoa; Chordata; Aves; Galliformes; Phasianidae
Source: Ensembl